Non-coding RNA from Cinara cedri, 257 nucleotides. The record is from the annotation of a GenBank genome assembly. Lineage: Eukaryota; Metazoa; Arthropoda; Insecta; Hemiptera; Aphididae.
UAAGAUAUCGGAUAAUUUGAAUAUCGGCUCGUGGUUUCAAAAAAAUAUCAGAUCGGUUAUCGAUUUUAUAUCGGUAGCAAAUAAUCGGAUAUCGGAAAGACUUUUAUCCCCCAUUAAUAAUAAUAUAAAAAGGUUUCGUAUGCUGCGUAUAAAUCAUGUCCUGCGACCGCACCGAGACGUGGUUCCGCCGUCCAGGGGAACGUCAUCUAAAUUAGAUCGCGCGGACACUUCGUUAGCGAAUUCGGGAAAUUAAUGAG